Molecule: ribosomal RNA, 496 nt
Filed under: uncultured bacterium
Lineage: Bacteria
Description: partial 16S ribosomal RNA
Rfam family: Bacterial small subunit ribosomal RNA
Source: RNAcentral
AUGAACGCUGGCGGCGUGCCUAAUACAUGCAAGUCGAGCGAACAGAUGAGGAGCUUGCUCCUCUGACGUUAGCGGCGGACGGGUGAGUAACACGUGGAUAACCUACCUAUAAGACUGGGAUAACUUCGGGAAACCGGAGCUAAUACCGGAUAAUAUAUUGAACCGCAUGGUUCAAUAGUGAAAGACGGUUUUGCUGUCACUUAUAGAUGGAUCCGCGCCGCAUUAGCUAGUUGGUAAGGUAACGGCUUACCAAGGCAACGAUGCGUAGCCGACCUGAGAGGGUGAUCGGCCACACUGGAACUGAGACGCGGUCCAGACUCCUACGGGAGGCAGCAGUAGGGAAUCUUCCGCAAUGGGCGAAAGCUUGACGGAGCAACGCCGCGUGAGUGAUGAAGGUCUUCGGAUCGUAAAACUCUGUUAUUAGGGAAGAACAAAUGUGUAAGUAACUAUGCACGUCUUGACGGUACCUAAUCAGAAAGCCACGGCUAACUACGUG